UGGGGAAUAUUGGACAAUGGGCGCAAGCCUGAUCCAGCCAUACCGCGUGGGUGAAGAAGGCCUUCGGGUUGUAAAGCCCUUUUGUUGGGAAAGAAACCAGCUGGUUAAUACCCCGGUUGGGAUGACGGUACCCAAAAGAAUAGCACCGGCUAACUUCGUGCCAGCAGCCGCGGUAAUACGAAGGGGUGCAAGCGUUACUCGGAAUUACUGGGCGUAAAGCGUGCGUAGGUGGUCGUUUAAGUCUGUUGUGAAAGCCCUGGGCUCAACCUGGGAACUGCAGUGGAAACUGGACGACUAGANUGUGGUAGAGGGUAGCGAAUUCCUGGUGUAGCAGUGAAAUGCGUAGAGAUCAGGAGGAACAUCCAUGGCGAAGGCAGCUACCUGGACCAACACUGACACUGAGGCACGAAAGCGUGGGGAGCAAACAGGAUUAGAUACCCUGGUAGUCCACGCCCCUAAACGAUGCGAACUGGACGUUGGGGUGCAAUUUUGGCACGCAGUAUCGAAGCUAACGCGUUAAG
RNAcentral lists this ribosomal RNA (521 nucleotides) under uncultured bacterium. RNAcentral's name for it is "partial 16S ribosomal RNA". It matches the Rfam family "Bacterial small subunit ribosomal RNA", at positions 355 to 864 of the family's 1533-position model. The record is from RNAcentral.